ACGCUCGACACCUACGGGAAGCAGCAGUGGGGAAUAUUGCACAAUGGGGGAAACCCUGAUGCAGCGACGCCGCGUGAAGGAAGAAGUAUUUCGGUAUGUAAACUUCUAUCAGCAGGGAAGAAACUGACGGUACCUGACUAAGAAGCACCGGCUAAAUACGUGCCAGCAGCCGCGGUAAUCUGAGCGGGCUGGCAAGGC
RNAcentral lists this ribosomal RNA (198 nucleotides) under uncultured bacterium. RNAcentral describes it as "partial 16S ribosomal RNA". It matches the Rfam family "Bacterial small subunit ribosomal RNA", at positions 326 to 539 of the family's 1533-position model. The record is from RNAcentral.